RNAcentral lists this long non-coding RNA (5371 nucleotides) under Homalodisca vitripennis (glassy-winged sharpshooter). RNAcentral describes it as "uncharacterized LOC124367924". Lineage: Eukaryota; Metazoa; Arthropoda; Insecta; Hemiptera; Cicadellidae. The record is from RNAcentral.
GUGAAUUAAAAACUUUGAAGCUUGAAGUGUUAUAAAUUGAAGCUACAUUUGUUGAAAUAAUAUAACUGUAAAAAAUGUUCAGAAAUAACGUAAAACACGCAACUCAACAAAGGACAAGAUUACGCACAGAUCUCGUGAACAGCACUGUUGCCCUCACCACGCAAAACGCGCCAGUCUGCAGGUCAGAAUGGCGUUCAGUUGCUAUGACAACCAGUUUCGAAUCGGCAACAGGUGGCCGAGAACAAUGCAUGGAGCGCAGUCGUUUUCUGAGUGUCUCGCAAGAAGUUUUCGCAGCUGGCCCGAGUGUUCACCGGCCGUAAAAAGCGCAGCAGUUCCGCCAAGGCCAUCUUGACCCAAGGCCCGGCACCCUCCAGGGACAACUUGCUGCUACAGGAAGAGGACAGUGAUGGCACUUAGGGCUAGAGUUAAGACCGGUGUUGUUGUGAGGGCCUCAACUAGCAGUGCCAGAGAAUUAUCAGAACAGGUUGCGUACUGUUUGACGAGCAUCAGCUGACUGGCAUAAAACAUACUGAAAACUUAAAACUGAUUCACAGGACAUCCACAAAUUGUGACAUUUCUCCACUCAGAAUUUUUCCAACCUUUUCUGUAAUUAACUUUAAAACUAUCAGCUGAUUUUUUAAAAACACUUAAGUUAAAACUAUUUUUGGCAUACUUUGGGGUUGCAUUAAACACAAGUAUACUUAAGAAGUUUGAUAGUUAACCAAAACUACAUCAAAAUUGGUUGGAAUUGGCUUUUUCUCACAAUUUUUUUUACUGAUUAAACCAAUGUUUUGGCUGUGGUAUGUUCAGAUUUACUUAUGCUUCAGUACCCUUUUUCUCUUAAGUAAUAAAAAGAAAACCUCUCAACCAAAUCAAACAAAAUUUAUAUUACCAUGUGAUUUUGAUUCCAUAUGAAAAUUACAAUUAUGCAAUAACACGUUGUGCUCUGAAAAAUAUACUCUUGGCAUAAGAAGUGAAGGACAUGAAAUUAAUUAUCCCAGUACUUGGAAUUUGUACUUGUUAUAAUUAACAAAUUCUCAUCCAAUCUCGUUAAGGUGAAAUGUGGCCUCAUCUUAGUCUCUACAACAUAGUUUGACUACUUUCUUAAAUACUGUGUGAAUGCGUUGAAAUUAGUACAUUUUUUAUAGCUAAGGGGCUGAUCACUUUUCGUUUAUUUUUUACUUGACUUCAGUGAGUUUGUGAGAUGGUAAAAGUUUAUUAAGGGUAUUUGGCCAACAAAUAAAUAUUUUUGUCAAAUAUCUUUACUGUGCCUCAUUAAUACUGAAUUUGGAAUCAAAAUUGGUUUGAAAAGUUUGGUGUAUUUGAAGUAUUGACUUUGUGCCCACUAGCUCAAAGACCAUUUCAGUUAUUAACCUUCUCCCAAUCGGGUGCACACCGUGCUUUCAUAAAGCGCGUGAUGGGAUACACGUUGCUAUGAAUUUCCUUAUCGCGUUUGUAUGUCUUCGUGGUUUGUUAAAUUUGUUCCUGCGCUUAAAUAAAUAUCUUAGACUAUCGCGUAACCCGUCGGGCACAUGAAUGCUUAUUUUUUAAGUUAAAUUAAUUUUUUUAGGAACCCCUUGGGAUACACAGAAAAAAUUGAUAAAACAUAUUUAAAUAAUUUUUUGUAUGCAAAAUUGCGAGACCUACUACAUCAGGAAAAAGCCGUACAGUGUUCCAGUGCAAUUUGCGAUUAAAUCCUUUUCGAAUAAAUAUAUUUUUCAAUCUGUGAAGCUUUUAAUUGUUUGGCACUAAUCAAAUGACUAGUUGAGUAAAUUCCAGUCCACACAAAAACACGUACACUGCACUGCUAUGUAAUACGUUAGUUUUCCACCUAUUUUUGUAAGUAUUAGGAAAUCAUUCCUUAAAAUAUUCUACAAUUGUCACCUGUUCAUUUCGAUUUUUCAAGUUGAUCAUUCGUAUUUGCUUUUAUUCCACACAUUUGAGAUUUCCGCUAUGUACAUACCAUGAUUAUAUUUUCUCACAGUUUUAUAUGCAUUUUAAAUGCUCCACAUCACCAGGAUGGCUUAAAGGCGUGUAAGUUUUGGAAAUAAAGAUGCCAACGUGUAUUUUAUUGUUAUAAAUGUUAUAUUUUGUAAAGACGCCGAAAAGCGAAGGGUAGUGCGUUGUUUAGUAUGUUGAGGCAGAUUUUCAGAUGUCGUUUAGCAUAGGAAAGUCACGGAAACCAUUAACCCAACCAAAGAUGAAACAAAGAACGAUAUUAGUCUAGUCAAGUAUUGUUAUUUUACUUUUAUCUCCUAACCUCUUACUAGAAUAUAAUAACCUGAUGUGUUAAGUGAAAACUCAACCUGGAAUCCAUUGCUGUUUUUUUUGUUUGUUCUAAAACCGAUUACUGAGUUUUUUAUACUGUGAGUGACAGUUAUAUAUUUUUGUAUGUUCCAACUUAAAUAGUUUUUGGUGCUCAGUAGUUCGUUAGACUUCCACGUUUUAGGUACUUCCUAGAUAAAUAAAUAUUUUACAGCUACGAAUACUGUACUGUAGUUCUCAUCUCAUUCCAACCUCAUCUGGCCCAACAGUGGCAAACCUAGUAACUUCCUUCUACCCAAACUAAAGUAAAUAACAAAUAUUUAUUUUGAAAGAUAAACUUAAUAGUCCUCUUAGAGCCUCCUUGGCUUGGCAAGUGAUUUUACACUUGCUACCUACAAUGUGAGUGAAUAAAAAACAUAGAUACAUAAAUAUUUACUAUUCCAUAUUAUAUUUAUUAAAAAUAUAUAAGUAAAAAUAAUGUGUGACGUAUCUAAAUUUGAAUCAGAAAUUAGAACGAAUUAUUAAUUUUUAGUUUCUUGUACUAAGAAUUGUUUAGACCUUUAUAUGCACUAUUUUUAUGGUAUUGAUGUGAGUAACAAAUCAAUAUUCAGUAUCGUUCAGAUUAAUUGAUUAUGUUUUCAAAUUUGUUUUCACUUCACAUUUUAAAUAAAUCAAACUGUAAUAGUGGCUUGAAAAAGCUUAAAAUAAUCCACCCUUAAUUAAAUCUAUCUAAAUUGUUAUUAUUUUUCCUACAUAGUUGUGUAUAAGAUUUGUGUACAUGUAUAUGUUUUCUAGUUUAUUAAGAGUACGAUUAAAAUUGUUACAUUUAUGAUGGAAACGGGAAUGGAAAAUCCAGAAUAUUUUAUUGUGACAUAUUUACGGAAAAUUAAAAGAAAGUCUUUUUUGUAAUUAUUGUGCGUUGGGUUGCUAUUCCAAUGCACUCUUGAUGUCAAAAGUUGAAUUAUCAUAUAUUUUUUGUUGUUAUUAGUUUAUAAAACACAGAAUUAACUAUCUUUAGAAUAAGAAAGAAGUGCUAAUGGGCGCUUAGGUAGCUCCUUAGAAUUUUGUCGUAAUGUUUAAUGAAAGAGGGAGAGAGAAUUUUUAAACUUUGUAACCUGUGUAUUUUUACUCUCUUAUUAUAAAUGAGAAAUGGACAUAUCUUAGAAUUAAAUCAUAUAUGUGUAUUGUGUCAUUCAGAGGUUUCCUAUUGUAACCAAAAUUUGAAUCUUGAUUUUAUUAAUACUAAGUGGUGUGUAAUGUUACUAAAUUUGUAACAUCAACGAGCAAGUAUACAAUUAUGUGAUGAAAAUAUUUUCAAGAAACAUUUUAGUGAAGUAUCGUCUUAUUUGUUAUAAAUACCUAGCAUACUUGACCAUUCAAUUCAAUUCUUUAAUUAAAAAAAAUUACUUUAGUUGAAAAAUUAAAUCAUAAGCUCACUGGUCUCUCUAAUCCCAGUUUGUUGUUGUAGGUGCCACAUGAUUAUUAAUGGAUUAUAAUUACAUGGUUUACAUAAUUGUACUAGUGCACUGUUUUACUCUUUUAGUGCUACAGCUUGUGAACGAUUCUGUUAUUUAGUUUAACCCUUUGACUGCACUUAGUAUUUUCCUUAAAGCCAAGCAGUUUUUUUUCCCAGUUUUGCGAGCUUUCUUUCUAAAAUCUAUAAAAAAAUUGUUUCUUACUGCAGUUCUAACUGUACUUGGUACAAUUUUGUUCACAAUGAACAAUAUAAUACAAUGAUAAUAAGUAACUGAGGUAAAUAUUUUAAUUUGAAUUUAAACGAAAAGCAAGGUAAUGACGUAAUAGUAUUACAGCAUUAAGUUUAAUUUUGUUGAGUAAGAAACAAGCUGUUGUUUAGGACAAAAAGCUUAGAAACUCUCAAAGUACUUAGUCCUAAAAAGAUCCUUGCUGUUGCUUCCGGAGUAACAGGAUAUUCUGGAUGGGCAAGGUUGGGGGUAGGGGCCGCUUCUCAGACAUGCUUUAUUACAAGCUUUAGUUGAAUUCUAUUUUAAAAUGCACUUGUACUAAUAACGACUGGAUUAUUGCUAAAUAAUAUAAUUGUUAUAAUGCACUUUGGUUAAUCCGGAACUUCAGAUAACUGCAUUUCAGAUAAUCACAUCCCAAGUGCACUUAUAAUAUUCUGUUUUUGUUGUUUAUUAGUUCGUGCACAAUUACAAAUACAUAUUUUUCUCAAAUAUUUAUAGUUAUUACUUUUGCAAAUCAUUUACGUAUUUAUUUAAAUUUUCAAUACUUUUUGUUUUCCUAAAUGAAUUUUUAUGUUUAAAUUUUGUGUUGCAACAGCACUAAGCAAAAAGUUCAAAACAGUUUAUCAGUAAUUUAAAUCAAACUCAAAAUACUGCAGUGAUAACAUAUAUUUUAAAUAAAUUUGUUUAUGUUGAAUUUAUACAUCAGAAUAUAUAUUUUAUAAAUUUAUAUUUUCCAAUGUUAUAUGAAGAAACAAAACAAAGUUACAAAUGUGGUUUUCAAUACGUAUUUCUCUAAAUAUCUAUUUUGCACCUAGCGUAUAACAAUGUGUCAAAUGCUGUAGCACUAAAAGGGUUAAAAUGAUUCACAGUUUAAUUGAAAUGUACUAGGAAAAAGCUCAAUAAUUUUAUUGUAAUUUUUUUAUACAAUUUAUAUUUAAAUACGUCCCUUCAGGUAGAGGGCUCAAAACGACUGAUAGAUGAAAGUGUGGUAGGACGUUAGUUUGUAAUAUAUUGUUAAACACAAGAAAACGUACACUGUUCAGUAGAAUUUUAUAUUAUUACAAAUUAACUUUGUUCUAGUUUGGAGUUUUUUUAAAUUGGAAAAAUUUACUGUACGUGUUUGUAAAUAAAAUGUUGAAUGUAUUUUGAUUCAUCGCAAGUAAAACGUUAUUCAACUAACGAAGAGGGUCAUCAAUAGUUAUCUUAUUUUUAUAAAUGGCUGUGCUUUUUAUCCCUUAUUCGCAGUAUGGAGUUUGGUUAUGUUUGUAGUUCAUAAGUAGUCACAAUGGCUUCCGUAAUGGAGAUGGAGUCUCAGUUCUCAGUUGCAGCAAUUUAUGUUACCACUGGUUUAACUAUACAAAGAUAUGAUAAUGAAAUAAAUAGACUGUUGAUAAAUAACAAAA